UUCCUUCUUAAAAGCUCUUGUUGAGUCAGUGUUUGUGGCUCAGUAAGAUGUCGUGGAAGGAGACAGCAAUAGUAUCGCUCGUGGGUGAAGCGGCAGCCAGUGCUGUUGGCUUCAGUCGGUGAUUUGACAAGG
Charadrius vociferus (killdeer) is the source of this 132-nucleotide non-coding RNA. The record is from Rfam. Lineage: Eukaryota; Metazoa; Chordata; Aves; Charadriiformes; Charadriidae.